CUUGCAACUAUUGCAAAAAUUUAAUUUAGUAUCCACAAACGCAAAUAUUGCGGCAAUAUAUAGAUGUCUCCUUGCUCACGUUUUCCGGUGCUCAUCGCCACAACGUGAACGGCCGUCCACAGUGUUAGUCGCCCGAUUUUAAUCAAAUUUAAACUGUAAUUCUUAAAAAGUUAAUUAUUAGUACACGCAGAAAAAUGGUUAGAAAGAGCAUCCAAUUUUUAUUGGGUGAGAAAAAAUUGGAUGUUGUACCUAUUUAAAAUGAAAGAUCAAAUAACGGUGAUGGUUAUUUUAGCAAUUUAAAAAUGAUACCUCCGAUUGGUUUUUAUAUGCUUUGAAUUGGAUAAGACUGCCAACUUUGUUGGAAAUGAUGACUUAUACUGGAAUUCGAAUUUCGAUUAAUGAGUCAACUUUUUUGAAAGGCAGAAAAGAACUCGAUUAAUCGUAGUUGAAAAUCGUAUUCGACUGACUUUAUUCAAUCCUCGAAAAUUCUGUUGAAUUUAUAGGUUAAGAGUUAAAUUUUUUAUGAAAAUAAAUUUUUUCAAUUCGAGAAAAUUCAUCAUCAAUACUUAAAUAUACCAAAAUAAUAUCACAAAAGUACAUACAAACGAUUAUUUAACACGUAUACGUGAAAAUAAAAACAAACGGCAAUUAAUCAUUCAAAUAAAGUGUUCAAUUUUUGUCAAUUUUUAAGCCUACAAAAAUCGAUAACAUCGAUUAUUUUACAAUAAUCGACAAUCAACUCUCGACUAUCAUUGGCUUUGCAUUUUUCAUCCCUACUCUUUUCUGUUCUUUUCGGCUGCUCGCCACGCUCGCUUCGCUCGUUCCGGUAUUGCCCCUUUUUUUGUGUUAAGUUCCUAGAAAAUUCUACAAAAAGAGAUGGAUGAAAAAAGUUUGGAGUUUUUGGAAAAUGUGGAUCCCGAGAACGCAGAAUUUUUGAUUGUUCUUUUUAAAGGCAACGUACUACGUACCAAGGCAGCCGAAAACUAAUUUGGUAGGCGCGAAGCAGCCCAGGGGUAAAUUAUAUGAUAAAUAUACCUGUAUAAUAAAAGAUUUGCGUGCUUCAGGAUUACGGUCGAAAGAGUCCGAACAGCCAACAACUGUUCAUGACGAUGGAGUAAAGAGAGAUGAACAGGGUGAAGUGAAGGAAGACCUGGAGUGGUUAAGACGAUGCCUCGAACCCGAGGUUGAGGCUACUGAGCGGUGGAGGACUUCCGAUUAUCGCCUCCAUUCCUUAAGAGUUACUCCUACUAGAAAAAAGGCUAUUUGUCGUCAAAUUCAUUCAAUUACAAUUUAUUUGAAAAUAAAGAACUUAUUGAAAAUUUUUUUAAGCAAUUAAAAUAGAUAUAAUAUCACUGGUAGAUGGUUUUAUGAACCAACUAAAUACCAACCAUAUACAAAAAAUUGGAUCAAGCAAACAAGCGCUUGUUUUGUCGAACUCUCUCAGUUGGUGAAUAUAUCCAAUUCCUGUGGAUCCAAGAAAACUAGAUAAUCCAACCAACAAAUUGGAUCGCUCCCCAGCACCUAUUUAAAAUAGUUGUAUUAUCCAAUUCACAGGUGUAUAUUUCCAACUAUUUUUCUGCGUGUAUAUCUUAAUGAACUUAUAUAUUCUGAGAUCUUGACGUUCAUACAGACGGACAUGGCUAGAUCCGCUCGGCUAUUGAGCCUGAUCAAAAAUAUAUGUAUAUACAUUAUAGGGACGGAAACGUUUUCUUCGACCUGUUACAUAAUUUUCAACGAUUACAAAACAACGACUAUAAAAAGAAAAAAACAUCAUAUCUACUGUUUUCAAUUGUACGGGUAUCUUAUAGUCGGUGACUCGACUAAAGGUUUUUUUUUUUAUUUUUUUUUUACUUUCUUGUGUAAAGAUUGUAUAUGCAUGUUGUUAAAAACAUCGACUAGAUCGACUCUCCUAUUGAUGAUGAUCAGGAAUAUUUAUACUUUAUAGGGUCGGAAAUAUCUCCUUCACUCCGUUGCAAAAUUCUGACUGAAAUUAUAACAACCUCUGCGAGGGUAUAACAAAAAGCAAGUGGAAUCUAAUUGUUUGAAGCCAUGAAUCUAUGUUUAGCUUGUUUAGAAGCAAUGACUGAAAACUAAUCGCCUUCUAUUUUCACUUUAAUUUACGUGACCCUGCUAAUCACAGUUUGUAACAGUGUGUCACAGUUUUAAAAAAUUCUAUUCCAUAAAAUAGCGCUUGAACAAUGCAGGUUUUAGCUAUAAGUAAUCUUAUAUGAGUGGGCAGGCAAUUUUUAGUAACGGAUAAUGUCCUUAUUAUGCCAUAUGUUUUUCCUUCAGACUUUGUAAUAUGAUCACUCUAGGUAAGAGUUCUGUGAAUGUGAAACCUAAGUUUACAGCUGUUUCAACAUACUCAAGUGGCGCGUUAUUUUAGCUCAGUGGUCGCAAUAAAUUAACAACUAUCUUUCUAUUACUUAUGGCAAGACAUUUUGAUUUUGAUGGGUUGAUCCCAGUCCCUUGUUGCCGGCCCACUUAUUUUAGCUACAAACAGACGAUAUGAAGUAGAAUAGGCUGUUACACUUGAUAGACGUGCUUCAUUGCGUCUAAACAGCUGUUCCUUUUUUUGAUUUGUCAAGGAAAAUCCUCCCGCCUUUUUUUUACCAAAGUUCGUUGUUGUUGUUUUCGGUCAUUAGUGGUGACAGUACCCCACGAUAGUAUAUCGAUAUGCCAAAUAUCGAGUAAACAUCUAGUAUAAUCGAGUAAACAUAGGCAAAAAUCAAAAUUUUGUAGCCUGAUGCACUUUAACGCCCCUUUUCCUCAUCUCUAUCUGCCUAUACGAAACCUAUGUAAAAAAUAACUGCAUAUAGCCACAGACGCAAUGACGCAGUGAAUAAACCCAAGUGUAACUAGGCCCUAAGGGACGACUCGCAUAAAUUUGGACAUCAUCAGCAUACAAGUAGGACCAAAUCAAAUGAAGAUGAAACGCUAUACAGUACAACAGAUUGACGAUGGUUUUGAAGGUACGAAGACAAGAAGUUUUAGAAAACAUAAACAUCUACGAAGUUUACACAAAAGACAUUAUGGUUUACUUCGAAGACUUUAAAAAGCCAGUAAAACUAAACGUAUAACAUUAUUUCCGUCUAUUUGUUCCCUUAGUUCGUCUGAAAAUUUUAAAAUGGCUGAGGUACAGCUUUUUUUUCC
Molecule: long non-coding RNA, 3153 nt
Organism: Drosophila elegans
Lineage: Eukaryota; Metazoa; Arthropoda; Insecta; Diptera; Drosophilidae
Exons: 4
Source: RefSeq, a predicted model, not a curated record